GAUCAAGUGUCUUAAGGGCAUUCCGGAGGAUGCCUUGGCGGCAAGAGGCGAUGAAGGACGUGGUACGCUGCGAUAAGCUACGGUGAGGUGCGAACAGCCUGUGACCCGUAGAUUUCCGAAUGGGGAAACCCACCUUCAGAAGUCAGAAUAGAGAAACCGAGAGCCUGGUGCUUCUUGGGUUUCGCGGUUUUUGUAUUCUGGCUUCUGAUUAGGUAUUUGAUCCUGAAUUCAUAGGGAUCAAAAGCAAACCCGGGGAACUGAAACAUCUAAGUACCCGGAGGAAAGGACAUCAACAGAGACUCCGCUAGUAGUGGCGAGCGAACGCGGAUCAGGCCAGUGCUUCAGCAAAGACAAGUGGAACCUUCUGGAAAGUUGGGCCUCAGUGGGUGAUAGCCCCGUACACGUAAUGCGAUGCUGAAGACUCGAGUAAGGCGGGACACGUGCAAUCCUGUCUGAACAUGGGGGGACCACCCUCCAAGCCUAAGUACUCUUUGCCGACCGAUAGCGAACAAGUACCGUGAGGGAAAGGUGAAAAGCACCCCGACGAGGGGAGUGAAAGAGACCUGAAACCGGAUGCCUACAAACAGUCGGAGCCCAAGAU
RNAcentral lists this ribosomal RNA (601 nucleotides) under Microbacteriaceae bacterium. RNAcentral describes it as "partial 23S ribosomal RNA". It matches the Rfam family "Bacterial large subunit ribosomal RNA", at positions 1 to 587 of the family's 2925-position model. The record is from RNAcentral. Lineage: Bacteria; Bacillati; Actinomycetota; Actinomycetes; Micrococcales; Microbacteriaceae.